Marmota monax (woodchuck) is the source of this 1004-nucleotide long non-coding RNA. RefSeq lists it as uncharacterized. The transcript is spliced from 3 exons. The record is from RefSeq and is a predicted model, not a curated record. Lineage: Eukaryota; Metazoa; Chordata; Mammalia; Rodentia; Sciuridae.
UUGAAUCGGACGUAAGUUCCUAUGUUCAUAUGUGAAUACAUGACCAGGGUAACUCCACGUCAUGUGCGACCACAAGAACGGGAAGCUAUCUUCCAUGUAUGUAUAAUAUGUCAAAAUACACUCUACUGUCACGUAUAUCUAAAAAGAACAAAUAAAACAAACAAACAAAAUACAGUACCAGAAAGGAAAUUGAAGGGAAAAUGUGAGUUGGGGCCCCCAGAUUUAACCUCCCUGAAAGCUUUUCUGGUUCCAGGACCUCUGGGGUCAGAAUCUUGGGUCUUGCUCCAUCUCAACAUUUCAGCAGCCAGAGGCACUUCAAGAAGCCUCAGGCUGGGAGCUGACAGAAGGAAUGUGAAGAUGAUUGAUAGAGACCUGAAGAAACACCUCUAUUGUACAGGCGGGAAGUCAGAAUCCCCCGCCACCCUUCAAUGGGGUCAUACAAGCCACCACCUGGAGCCGGCUUUCCUUGGGCACUUUGCAGGACUUAGGUUGACACCUUCACAGCAACAUCUAGACUGAUGUUUGACUGCGGAUCUGGGUUCGGUACACAAUUGGACACAUAAAAUGAACUGCCUGCAUGACCAGCUUGACCUCAAGCCUGAUGGGAGCUGGCCCCUCUCAGGUGCCCAGUGCUCACCAGGUGCUGCCCAGCAACCUUCUCCAAGGACCAGCCGUGGACCUGUCCUGGCGGCAGAAGUCCCACGGCCUUCCCUCCAGGACCUUGUCCCCCGUCGUGUGCACACACACAUACCGCCCAGAGAAAAAUCCAGAAAGCACAGACUCGGGUGAGGAAGCCGAGGUGCAGAGAGGUCGAAGAACUUGCUGGACUCCUGGGCCGAUCAGAGGUGGAACCGAGUUGGGACCCAGGACAACUGAGUGCAGAGUCUGGGCCCUGAGUUUUCUCGGCUGCGUCACAUGAGGGUUCGCAGGGGCUCAGGAUGGGAGCUGGAGGAGCAGCCACGUCCUCCCUGGGCAGCGGCGCUGAGUGUGGGGAGGACGUGGCU